RNAcentral lists this transfer RNA (60 nucleotides) under Alectorobius puertoricensis. RNAcentral's name for it is "tRNA-Tyr". The record is from RNAcentral. Lineage: Eukaryota; Metazoa; Arthropoda; Arachnida; Ixodida; Argasidae.
GGUAAAAUGGCUGAUUAAGGUGAUAAAUUGUAAAUUUAUUUAUGAUGAAGAUCUUUUACU